UCUAAAGCCAUUGGUGGAUGCCUUGGCAGAGAGAACCGAGGAAGGACGGUUGUAUAGGGCCGAUAUCGACGGGUUGCUCCUCAACAAGCUUUAUCCGUUGGUUUCCGAAUGGAGAAAUCCGCCCCGAUUUACAUCGUGGGCGAUCAAGCGUAAAUACAUAGCGCUUGAUCGGGUACCCCCCGAACUGAAACAUCUAAGUAGGGGGAGGAAAAUAAAAUAAUAAUGAUUCCCCAAGUAGCGGCGAGCGAAAAGGGAACAGGCUAAACUUCGUCCGCAAGGGCGGAGGGUUGUGGGACGCUUGAUGACAUAAACUUUUGGUAAAAGAAUCCUCUGGAAAGGGGAACCAUAGAAAGUGACAGUCUUGUAUUUUAAACUGAAAGUUUGUCUGUGCGUAUCCCAAGUACCACGCGACACGUCACCGUGUGGGAAUCCGUGACGACCAUCGUCAUAAGCCUAAAUAUUCUCUCUGACCGAUAGUGAACUAGUACCGUGAGGGAAAGGUGAAAAGAACCCCGGAAGGGGAGUGAAAUAGUAACUGAAACCAUUGGCUAACAAACAGCAGAAGUCCUUCGGCCGCAAGGCCUAGGGAUAACUGCGUGCCUAUUGAAGAAUGAACCGGUGAGUUGUCUGUGCUUGCGUUAGUUUAACCCCGCCAAGCGGGGGGAGGCGUAGUGAAAGCAAACCUUAACAGGGUGUUUUUAGCAUGUGCAGGCAGACCCGAAGCCCAGUGAGCUAACCUUGAGCAGGGUGAAUGCUGUCCGAAAGGACGCAGGAGGCCCGAACUCGUAGUCGUUGCAAUGACUUGAGAUGACUUGAGGUUAGGGGUUAUAUGCCUAUCGAACUGGGGUAUAGCUGGUUCUCCCCGAAAUAUAUAUAGGUAUAGCGGUCAAUUAUGAUUUUCUGGAGGUAGAGCACUGAAUUGACACGGCGGGGCAACUCGUUUUGUCAAAUCAAACUCCUAAUGCCAGAAAGUUUAUGUGGCCAGUCAGAAAGCGACGGCUAAGCGCCGUUUUCUAAAGGGAAACAGCCCAGACUCUUGAUUAAGGUCCCUAAAUUGAAACUAAGUCUAAGGAGGUCAGAUUUUUUAUACACCCAGGAGGUUGGCUCAGAAGCAGCCAUCCUUUAAAGAAAGCGUAACAGCUCACUGGAAUAAAAGUCAGGCGCCUAAAAUGAUCGGGAAUUAAGUUUCAUACCGAAAUCAGAGAUGUCCCGCUUUUGCGGGGCGUGGUAGGGGAGCGUUCUAACGGCAGCGAAGGUUACGACGUAAGUCGGGCUGGAGCUGUUAGAAGUGAGAAUGCCGGUAUGAGUAGCGUAAUUCAAAGUGAGACUCUUUGAAGUCGAAAACCCAAGGUUUCCCCGACAACGUUAAUCGGUCGGGGGUUAGUCGGCCCUAAGCGCGAUCCUUAAGGAGUAGCGCGAUGGACAAUUGGUUUAUAUUCCAAUACAGGAUUUAAUGCGUUAUCACCCAAGGGAGACAGAGGAAGGAUAGUUCUUCCCGCCGUAAAAGUUGGUGGGAUUAAGUACCGAAAUAGUGUUAACUGGAAAACCCGUUAAUAUGAUUAAUUAAGGUACGACAGAGGACGAGUCUUUGCUUUCCAGAAAAUUCUCGUGGGGAGUGUUAAGUUUUUCCGUACCGCAAACCGACUCUGGUGGGUAGGUCGAGAAGACCAAGACUUUCGGAUGAACUUUGGCUAAGGAACUCGGCAAAAAAGCUCGAUGUAACUUAGGGAGAUAUCGUCCCCGCACCGUCAGGGUACGGGGGUCACCAAAAGUUUAUUAUCUAACUGUUUAACUAAAACACAGGUCUGUGCAAAGCCGAAAGGCAACGUAUACAGGCUGAGGCCUGCCCAGUGCUAGUAGAUCAAAAAUGGGGGUGAUUCCGAUUUAUUCGGAGCAGCUCUUGUUCAAAGUCCUAGUGAACGGCAGCAGUAACUAUAACUGUUCUAUGGUAGCGAAGUUCCUCGACAGGGGGCCUUGUGAUAAUCUAAACGUCACAUGGCGAACUUGACUAUAUGCUGGAAUAUCUGAAGUAUCUUGCACUACCUGACAAAAAUAUAUAACAUGGAUUUAUGUCGGGUGACAAUGUGUCAAGUGCAGACAAUCAGCAGGGAACGUUGUACUAUUAUUUUACCGGCUUUAUAGUCGGUGAAAGUUCCGUAAGUAUAAUAAAGGCGACAAAUAAAGGGACAGGGCAAGGUUUUUAUUUUGCUUUGGAUUUAACCGUAAGUAAUGCCGAUUUAAUUUUAUUAAAAGAAUUAAACCAGGUUGUUGCUUGCGAAAAGGGAAUUAUUUCUCCUAUAAAAGGAGGCUAUAACCUUUCAAUCCGAGGGAAAGAAAAAAUAAAACCAGCGUUGUCUUUUUUAAAUAGAUUUCCACCUCCAGCAGGGGAUCUUUUUAAAGAAAAACUAAAUAUUCUUAAAAAGGCUCUGGAGCUUUUAUCAGUUAAAAACUAUAAAAUUGAGGAGGUUGAGAAAUUACGCCAAAGACUUAAGGAUAUUAAAAUAACCGCAAAAGCGGUAAAACACUUUCCAGUAAUAUUCGACGUGAGAAGUGUGGGGUAUUUUCUUUCAGGUAUCGUAGACGCAGAAGGGUCAAUGGGUUGGCGAAGGUCAGGUAACCGACAGCAACCAUAUUUCUGUGUUCUUAUGCGGGAAGAAGCCAUUAUUGAUUUAUUUAUAAAACAAUUUGGUUUUGGGCAUAAAUAUUAUCGACCAAAAGAAAAACUUCAUCAUUUUGAAACGGGCAAAAGGGAAGAUGUGGCCAAACUUGCAGAUUAUUUUUUAAAUAAAUUUCCGGUUAAAUUGGCAAAAAAUCGCCAAAGACUGGAAAAUUUACAACGGAUCCUCAACGACUACAUGCCAAGCCC
Molecule: ribosomal RNA, 2866 nt
Filed under: Candidatus Gottesmanbacteria bacterium RIFCSPHIGHO2_01_FULL_42_12
Lineage: Bacteria; Candidatus Gottesmaniibacteriota
Description: bacterial LSU rRNA
Rfam family: Bacterial large subunit ribosomal RNA (bases 5-2007)
Source: RNAcentral